UACGUAGGGACCAAGCGUUGUUCGGAUUUACUGGGCGUAAAGGGCGCGUAGGCGGCGCGGUAAGUCACUUGUGAAAUCUCUGAGCUUAACUCAGAACGGCCAAGUGAUACUGCAGUGCUAGAGUGUGGAAGGGGCAAUCGGAAUUCUUGGUGUAGAGGUGAAAUUCGUAGAUAUUCGCAAGAACACCAGUGGCGAAGGCGGCUCACUGGCCCGAUACUGACGCUGAGGUGCGAAAGCGUGGGGAGCAAACAGG
RNAcentral lists this ribosomal RNA (253 nucleotides) under uncultured bacterium. RNAcentral describes it as "partial 16S ribosomal RNA". It matches the Rfam family "Bacterial small subunit ribosomal RNA", at positions 524 to 776 of the family's 1533-position model. The record is from RNAcentral.